This 252-nucleotide ribosomal RNA is filed under the name uncultured Bacteroidales bacterium. Its description in RNAcentral is "partial 16S ribosomal RNA". It matches the Rfam family "Bacterial small subunit ribosomal RNA", at positions 524 to 776 of the family's 1533-position model. Lineage: Bacteria; Pseudomonadati; Bacteroidota; Bacteroidia; Bacteroidales. The record is from RNAcentral.
UACGGAGGAUGCGAGCGUUAUCCGGAUUUAUUGGGUUUAAAGGGUGCGCAGGCGGUCUGUUAAGUCAGCGGUCAAAGCCCGGGGCUCAACCCCGGCCCGCCGUUGAAACUGGCAGUCUCGAGUUGGAGAGAAGUAUGCGGAAUGCGCGGUGUAGCGGUGAAAUGCAUAGAUAUCGCGCAGAACUCCGAUUGCGAAGGCAGCUUACAAAUCUAUAUCGGACGCUGAGGCACGAAAGCGUGGGGAGCAAACAGG